UAUAAACUCAUCACUACACAAGAGGUUAUGAAGGGGCUGUUGGCUAAGAAACAAGCAAAGCAGAAGAAAAACCAGCCAGCGCCAGUAGGGAAGCCAGAGAGGAGAGAGAUACAGCAUUCAGGGCUGGAUAUUGCAGUAAAAAGAUCUGACGUGGAGAAGGAUUAUCAGGCCACCAAAAAUGAAACAAACAGCCCAAGAACAGCAACAGCUACCAACUCUGCCAGUGCUGCAGCUAGAUCAAGAACAUGGCAACCCUCACUUCAAAGCAUCUCAGAGGCUACCAGCUAAUCAUGUUUCUCAUCUUCCUGCCAUGCUUACAUGAGGAACAGAUCAGCUCACCUGUACACAAAUCCAGCCCUUUAUUUUGAACCUGCCAAAUUUACUAUACAUAUAGAUCUUCCAUGGAGGCACCUGGGUAGGUUUAUGGCAGAGGGAAGUGAAUCUCUGGUCCCUUCGAGUGCAGAUUUGGGUAAUUCAAAGCUGUGUAGCAAAAGGGUGGUAUCUUAAACAUAGUUUUUAGUAAAUGUUCUUUUGAAAUGAAAUUAGA
RNAcentral lists this unclassified non-coding RNA (547 nucleotides) under Hevea brasiliensis (rubber tree). The record is from RNAcentral. Lineage: Eukaryota; Viridiplantae; Streptophyta; Magnoliopsida; Malpighiales; Euphorbiaceae.